AUGAACGCUGGCGGCGUGCCUAAUACCUGCAAGUCGAGCGAACAGACGAGGAGCUUGCUCCUCUGACGUUAGCGGCGGACGGGUGAGUAACACGUGGAUAACCUACCUAUAAGACUGGGUAACUUCGGGAAACCGGAGCUAAUACCGGAUAAUAUAUUGAACCGCAUGGUUCAAUAGUGAAAGACGGUUUUGCUGUCACUUAUAGAUGGAUCCGCGCCGCAUUAGCUAGUUGGUAAGGUAACGGCUUACCAAGGCGACGAUGCGUAGCCGACCUGAGAGGGUGAUCGGCCACACUGGAACUGAGACACGGUCCAGACUCCUACGGGAGGCAGCAGUAGGGAAUCUUCCGCAAUGGGCGAAAGCCUGACGGAGCAACGCCGCGUGAGUGAUGAAGGUCUUCGGAUCGUAAAACUCUGUUAUUAGGGAAGAACAAAUGUGUAAGUAACUAUGCACGUCUUGACGGUACCUAAUCAGAAAGCCACGGCUAACUACGUG
This 495-nucleotide ribosomal RNA is filed under the name uncultured bacterium. Its description in RNAcentral is "partial 16S ribosomal RNA". It matches the Rfam family "Bacterial small subunit ribosomal RNA", at positions 29 to 507 of the family's 1533-position model. The record is from RNAcentral.